Photinus pyralis (common eastern firefly) is the source of this 518-nucleotide long non-coding RNA. RefSeq lists it as uncharacterized. Lineage: Eukaryota; Metazoa; Arthropoda; Insecta; Coleoptera; Lampyridae. The record is from RefSeq and is a predicted model, not a curated record. The transcript is spliced from 3 exons.
UGAGUGGGAUAAAUUUUGUGGUGUAUAAUUUGUGCCCUAAUUUAAACAAUAAAUAAUAAAUACCCAAUAAUCCGAAUUACACUGCUUUUGUGAGUGUUUUGUGAAUAAAUGCACCCCAAGGAGUAAACUGUGCAGGAACCAUUCCACAACAAACUGGAUCAUAAUGGAGCUUUCGCAUAGUCUAACAUUGAACGAAGAAGCAUUGGCACAAGUUCCAGCAGCAAAGAGGCCGGUAUUUGUAUUUGAAUGGCUUCGAUUUUUAGAUAAAGUAUUAAUUGCAGCUCAAAAGAAUGAUAUUAAGGGUUGCCAAAAGAAAUUAGUGGAGCAAUUAACAAGUCACAUUCAAGAGUCACCUGGACCGCCCACAAGGAAGUUAAUUGCCAGAUCGUUGGCUACACUUUUUUCUGUUGGCGAUACAUUCCUUCUAUUCGACACUGUCAAUAAGUGCAAUGAGAUAUUAAAGAACAAGGACGACUCGCCUAGUUUUUUACCUACCAAAUUGUAAGUAUACGAGAUUG